UAGUUUCUAAGCUCAUUUCAAUAACUAAUUAUGCACUUAAUUAACUAAUUAAUAGUUAAGAGACUAACCUUUGCUUAGAUCCUCAAAUCUCAAUCUUUUGUGCUCCUUUCUUCUUUCAAUCUUCUUCUUAAGUUGCAAUAGCAAGCUCUAGUAAGGUUUUUAGGGAAGUUAUGAAGAUUAAAUGAAGGAAUUUAAGCUUAAGUGUA
This 206-nucleotide unclassified non-coding RNA is filed under the name Hevea brasiliensis (rubber tree). Lineage: Eukaryota; Viridiplantae; Streptophyta; Magnoliopsida; Malpighiales; Euphorbiaceae. The record is from RNAcentral.